Molecule: ribosomal RNA, 300 nt
Filed under: uncultured bacterium
Lineage: Bacteria
Description: bacterial SSU rRNA
Rfam family: Bacterial small subunit ribosomal RNA
Source: RNAcentral
CGUGUCGUGAGAUGUUCGGUUCAGUCCGGAAACGAGCGAAACCCCUGCACCAGAAGAGUCUGGUGUACUGCAGGAGAAACUCUUGAGGAAGAGGGGGAUGACGUCAAGUCCUCAUGGCCCUUAUGGAAUGGGCUACAGCCGUGCUACAAUGAUAAGGACAAUAUGAUGCAAACACGCAAGUCGGCGCAAGACCAUAAACCUUAUCGCAGUUCGGAUUGAAGUCUGCAACUCGACUUCAUGAAGUUGGAAUUGCCAGUAAUCGUGUAUCAGCAUGGCACGGUGAAUUUGUACCUGAGCCUU